UACGUAGGUGGCGAGCGUUGUCCGGAAUUACUGGGUGUAAAGGGUGCGUAGGCGGGUGCGCAAGUCAGAUGUGAAAUCCCGGGGCUUAACCCCGGAACUGCAUUUGAAACUGUGCGUCUUGAGUGGAGGAGAGGUAAGUGGAAUUCCCAGUGUAGCGGUGAAAUGCGUAGAUAUUGGGAGGAACACCAGUGGCGAAGGCGACUUACUGGACUCUAACUGACGCUGAGGCACGAAAGCGUGGGGAGCAAACAGG
Molecule: ribosomal RNA, 253 nt
Filed under: uncultured bacterium
Lineage: Bacteria
Description: partial 16S ribosomal RNA
Rfam family: Bacterial small subunit ribosomal RNA
Source: RNAcentral